Molecule: transfer RNA, 71 nt
Filed under: Candidatus Brocadiia bacterium
Lineage: Bacteria; Pseudomonadati; Planctomycetota; Candidatus Brocadiia
Description: tRNA-Trp
Rfam family: tRNA
About the family: Transfer RNA (tRNA) molecules are approximately 80 nucleotides in length. Their secondary structure includes four short double-helical elements and three loops (D, anti-codon, and T loops).
Source: RNAcentral
AGGAGCGUCGUCCAACAGCAGGACCCCGGCCUCCAACUCCGGCGAUGGGGGUGCAACUCCCUCCGCUCCUG